RNAcentral lists this ribosomal RNA (253 nucleotides) under uncultured bacterium. RNAcentral's name for it is "partial 16S ribosomal RNA". It matches the Rfam family "Bacterial small subunit ribosomal RNA", at positions 524 to 776 of the family's 1533-position model. The record is from RNAcentral.
UACGUAGGAGGCAAGCGUUGUCCGGAAUCAUUGGGCGUAAAGCGCGUGUAGGCGGCUGGGUAAGUCCGCUCUGAAAGCCCGGGGCUCAACCCCGGGAGGCGGGUGGAUACUGCUCAGCUCGAGUCCGGAAGAGGAGUGUGGAAUUCCUGGUGUAGCGGUGAAAUGCGCAGAUAUCAGGAGGAACACCGAUGGCGAAGGCAGCACUCUGGGACGGUACUGACGCUGAGACGCGAAAGCGUGGGGAGCAAACAGG